This 58-nucleotide transfer RNA is filed under the name Zea mays. It matches the Rfam family "tRNA", at positions 8 to 63 of the family's 71-position model. From Rfam's summary of the family: Transfer RNA (tRNA) molecules are approximately 80 nucleotides in length. Their secondary structure includes four short double-helical elements and three loops (D, anti-codon, and T loops). The record is from Rfam by way of RNAcentral. Lineage: Eukaryota; Viridiplantae; Streptophyta; Magnoliopsida; Poales; Poaceae.
UAGCUCAGUUGGUAGAGUGUAAGACUCUUAACCUUGAGGUUGUGGGUUCAAGCCUCAC